GCUGAUGCAGCCAUGCCGCGUGUAUGAAGAAGGCCCUAGGGUUGUAAAGUACUUUCAGUCGGGAGGAAGGCGUUGAUGCUAAUAUCAUCAACGAUUGACGUUACCGACAGAAGAAGCACCGGCUAACUCCGUGCCAGCAGCCGCGGUAAUACGGAGGGUGCAAGCGUUAAUCGGAAUUACUGGGCGUAAAGCGCACGCAGGCGGUUGAUUAAGUUAGAUGUGAAAUCCCCGGGCUUAACCUGGGAAUGGCAUCUAAGACUGGUCAGCUAGAGUCUUGUAGAGGGGGGUAGAAUUCCAUGUGUAGCGGUGAAAUGCGUAGAGAUGUGGAGGAAUACCGGUGGCGAAGGCGGCCCCCUGGACAAAGACUGACGCUCAGGUGCGAAAGCGUGGGGAGCAAACAGG
Molecule: ribosomal RNA, 402 nt
Filed under: Providencia vermicola
Lineage: Bacteria; Pseudomonadati; Pseudomonadota; Gammaproteobacteria; Enterobacterales; Morganellaceae
Description: bacterial SSU rRNA
Rfam family: Bacterial small subunit ribosomal RNA
Source: RNAcentral